This is a ribozyme of Fukomys damarensis (Damara mole-rat), 278 nucleotides long. It matches the Rfam family "Nuclear RNase P". Rfam says of the family: Ribonuclease P (RNase P) is a ubiquitous endoribonuclease, found in archaea, bacteria and eukarya as well as chloroplasts and mitochondria. The record is from Ensembl. Lineage: Eukaryota; Metazoa; Chordata; Mammalia; Rodentia; Bathyergidae.
GUUGGAGGGGAGCGCAUCAGUGGGAUUAUGAGCUAAGUACCACAUUUUCCUCUAAUCCAUGUUGGGAAGAUCUGAUACCAGGGCUAACAGCAGCUCUAACAGGGUCCUCCCUGAUCCUCAUCAAGGUGAGUUCUUAGAAAACACUGCUCUGGGCCUGGGCAGUCUUGGUAGGAAUGUAUAAAGCCUGCCCUUGGGGAAGAGCCUGGUGUAGGCAUGCUUAUCUGGAGUUUGAAAUAUGCUCUUGCCACUUUCUGAAGCAUACUAGAAUUCUCUUUAAC